AUUGAACGCUGGCGGCAUGCUUUACACAUGCAAGUCGAACGGCAGCGCGGGCUUCGGCCUGGCGGCGAGUGGCGAACGGGUGAGUAAUACAUCGGAACGUGCCCAGUAGUGGGGGAUAGCUCGGCGAAAGCCGGAUUAAUACCGCAUACGACCUGAGGGUGAAAGCGGGGGAUCUUCGGACCUUGCGCUAUUGGAGCGGCCGAUGGCAGAUUAGCUAGUUGGUGGGGUAAAGGCCUACCAAGGCGACGAUCUGUAGCUGGUCUGAGAGGACGACCAGCCACACUGGGACUGAGACACGGCCCAGACUCCUACGGGAGGCAGCAGUGGGGAAUUUUGGACGAUGGGCGAAAGCCUGAUCCAGCAAUGCCGCGUGUGAUGAAGGCCUUCGGGUUGUAAAGCACUUUUGGCGGGAACGAAAAGGACUGUGCCAAUACCACGGUUCGAUGACGGUACCCGCAGAAUAAGCACCGGCUAACUACGUG
RNAcentral lists this ribosomal RNA (482 nucleotides) under uncultured bacterium. Its description in RNAcentral is "partial 16S ribosomal RNA". It matches the Rfam family "Bacterial small subunit ribosomal RNA", at positions 29 to 507 of the family's 1533-position model. The record is from RNAcentral.